GCUACGAUGGGUAGGGGUUCUUAGUGGAAGGUCCCCCACACUGGCACUGAGAUACGGGCCAGACUCCUACGGGAGGCAGCAGUAGGGAAUAUUGGUCAAUGGGCGCAAGCCUGAACCAGCCAUGCCGCGUGCAGGAUGAAAACUCUCUGAGUUGUAAACUGCUUUUGUACAGGAGCAAAAAAGUCCCUGCGGGGAUUCUUGAGAGUACUGUAAGAAUAAGCACCGGCUAAUUCCGUGCCAGCAGCCGCGGUAAUACGGAAGGUGCAAGCGUUAUCCGGUUUUAUUGGGUUUAAAGGGUGCGUAGGCGGCUUAUUAAGUCAGUAGUGAAAUCCUAGUGCUUAACGCUAGAACUGCAAUUGAUACUA
Molecule: ribosomal RNA, 365 nt
Filed under: uncultured Candidatus Cardinium sp.
Lineage: Bacteria; Pseudomonadati; Bacteroidota; Cytophagia; Cytophagales; Amoebophilaceae
Description: bacterial SSU rRNA
Rfam family: Bacterial small subunit ribosomal RNA
Source: RNAcentral